UACGUAGGGGGCAAGCGUUGUCCGGAUUCAUUGGGCGUAAAGAGCUCGUAGGCGGCUUGGCAAGUCGGGUGUGAAACCUCCAGGCUCAACCUGGAGACGCCACCCGAUACUGCCAUGGCUAGAGUCCGGUAGGGGACCACGGAAUUCCUGGUGUAGCGGUGAAAUGCGCAGAUAUCAGGAGGAACACCGGUGGCGAAGGCGGUGGUCUGGGCCGGAACUGACGCUGAGGAGCGAAAGCAUGGGUAGCGAACAGG
Molecule: ribosomal RNA, 254 nt
Filed under: uncultured bacterium
Lineage: Bacteria
Description: partial 16S ribosomal RNA
Rfam family: Bacterial small subunit ribosomal RNA
Source: RNAcentral